Molecule: long non-coding RNA, 876 nt
Filed under: Equus caballus (horse)
Lineage: Eukaryota; Metazoa; Chordata; Mammalia; Perissodactyla; Equidae
Description: lncRNA (ENSECAG00000051001.1)
Source: RNAcentral
GCCGGUUAGAACUUUCAAUCCCCGCCUCCCGCCCUGAUCCCCCACAUCCGGGGAGGGGAGAGAGGCCAAUGGCCAUUGGCCAAUGGCCAAUGAUUUAAUCAAUCAUACCUAUGUAAUGUGGUCUCCAUAAGAGCCCAAGAGGAGAGGGUUUAGAAAACUUCCAGACUGGUGAACAUGUGGAGAUUGGGGAGAGUGGAGCACCUGGAGAAGACGUGGAAGCUAAGUUUUUCCCCCAUAUCUUGCCCUAGGCGUCUCUUCCAUCUGGCUGUUCCUGAGUUAUAUCCUUUUAUAAUAAGCCAGUGAUCUAGAUCAUUGGGACAGUUGGAGAAACAGAUCAAGCUUCCAGGAACAAUACCUUGAGGCACGCCACAGACCGGGAGGGAGUUGUUGUCUGUCACCACCACAAACUCCAGAACCACUCCACAGAUCUGUCCUGAGGAGGAAGCGGCCACCGCCACUGCCACUGACUCCAUAACCGUAUUUCACGGAUUAGAGAGGAGACUCCAUCACUACCUCUACCUCUGGCGCCAUUCAUACCAUCAAAACAUGAAUUUCCCAUGCAGACCCUAUUUUCCCGCAGGGCUGAAACCAGUACAACAACAAAGAGCCUAAUGGAACUUCAAUAUUAGAUUAAUAGGAUUCACGUUUGUCAAAUGGAAAGCUGGCUAAGUGGGCGAAUUCUUUAAUCGAGUGAUCAGAUUUGAGGACCAGAGGCAGCCUGCUCAGUGCAAAGUACCCUCCGAAAACCUAAGUUGAAAAUAAAAUCAGAAGAGAAAGAAGAUAUGAAGUGGAACAAUGUGGUUGGGAAAUCCCCACGCCUUUACCCUUUAAAAAAAAGAAAGAAAGAAAAGAAAAAGAAACUGUCUUGUAAGUAAG